AACGAACGCUGGCGGCAUGCCUAACACAUGCAAGUCGAACGAGACCUUCGGGUCUAGUGGCGCACGGGUGCGUAACGCGUGGGAACCUGCCCUUAGGUUCGGAAUAACUCCCCGAAAGGGGUGCUAAUACCGGAUAAUGUCUUCGGACCAAAGAUUUAUCGCCUUUGGAUGGGCCCGCGUUGGAUUAGCGAGUUGGUAGGGUAAAAGCCUACCAAGGCGACGAUCCAUAGCUGGUCUGAGAGGAUGAUCAGCCACACUGGGACUGAGACACGGCCCAGACUCCGACGGGAGGCAGCAGUGGGGAAUAUUAGACAAUGGGCGAAAGCCUGAUACAGCAAUGCCGCGUGAGUGAUGAAGGCCUUAGGGUUGUACAGCUCUUUUACCCGGGAUGAUAAUGACAGUACCGGGAGAAUAAGCGCCGGCUAACUCCGUG
This 433-nucleotide ribosomal RNA is filed under the name uncultured bacterium. RNAcentral describes it as "partial 16S ribosomal RNA". It matches the Rfam family "Bacterial small subunit ribosomal RNA", at positions 29 to 507 of the family's 1533-position model. The record is from RNAcentral.